Molecule: RNA transcript, 886 nt
Organism: Eucalyptus grandis
Lineage: Eukaryota; Viridiplantae; Streptophyta; Magnoliopsida; Myrtales; Myrtaceae
Exons: 1
Source: RefSeq, a predicted model, not a curated record
ACUGCUCCAAUGGAGGAGCAUCGUCGCCGUCGGUCUUGACGAAAUCUGAUAUAUAUAAGAACGCCCUUCCUCUCGUCUUCUCUCCAAGAAGUUCAUCAUCGUCUCGUCAACGACAUCGACGCCCGUUCUUCGCACUCGAGAUCUUCCGAUGGAGGUGCACGACCGACAAAUCGCCCCCGCCCAGGGCGGAAGCAGCGGCGGCGUGAUCUCCCUCCGUCCUCUGCAGCUCUCUGAUGUGGAUGACUUCAUGGUGUGGGCCACCGACCCGGACGUCGCCCGCUUCUGCCGGUGGGAGCCCUACACGAGCCGCGACGACGCCCUGGCCUACAUCGCCGGCACCGUGCUCCCCCACCCUUACCACCGAGCCAUCUGCCUCGACGGCAGGCCGGUCGGGGUCGUCGCGGUGGAGCGGAACGAGGUCGCGAGCGACGCCUGCCGGGGGAGCUGGGCUACGUGCUGGGCUCGGGCUACUGGGGGAGGGGGAUCAUGACGGAGGCGGUGAGGCUGGCGGUGGCGGAGGUGUUCGGCGGGGCGAGGCCGGAGCUGGAGAGGGUGGAGGCGGUGGUGGACGUGGAGAACAAGGCGUCGCAGAAGGUGCUGGAGAAGGCUGGGUUCAGGAGGGAGGGGGUGAUGAAGAAGUAUUUCGUGCUCAAGGGGAAGACCAGGGAUGCCGUCAUGUUCAGCCGUCUCGCCACUGAUGACGACUCUUGAUAUAUUCAGCAAUCAGCUUGAACGUUGCUCCCAUUUGUAGUGCAGAAUUCGACUUUACUUUUAGAAUUGUUGUGUUUGCCUCGAAAACAUCGUACGUAAUUGUAAAUCUAGUGUCGUGCACUUUUGAGUUUGUAAUAAAUUGUGGAAUUGGAUGAAUUGUACUUGAAAUUUGGCA